Long non-coding RNA from Octopus bimaculoides (California two-spot octopus), 6108 nucleotides. RefSeq lists it as uncharacterized. Lineage: Eukaryota; Metazoa; Mollusca; Cephalopoda; Octopoda; Octopodidae. The record is from RefSeq and is a predicted model, not a curated record.
CUGACCCUAAAACCCUAGUGAAGAUCGUGCGGGUGUUAAUCUGAAAAAAUACCAAAAAUUUUCCAAAUUUUUUUUAUAAAAGGCUAUCCUCUUUUAUUUUGAAGCGUGUGACGAAAAAAAAUGUCAUAAUCUGGAGAAGGUACAGCAAAAUCAAAAAGUUCUCGAGUUUAACGACACACUUCGCCGAAAACCCUAUGUUCAGGUAGCAUUCGACUCCGGCUGUAUUUCCUGCUUGAAAAUACAGUUUCGUCUAUUUCAACAAUUUUAUCGGGACCGCUAAUCUUCAAUGGAUCUAGUAAAUAAUUUCUACGGUCUACUGAAAUGGUAACCUCCCCCUGGCAAGCAUUCGUAUUCCCCUUCCUCUUUACAAAAGCUAGUAGUUGUCAAUUCUUUCACCCAGCAGCAUGUGUACACAACAAUACACUGGCGUUGCCAUGACAACAAAUAGUUUCAACUUCUGCUUUAAGGACACUUGCUAAAAACAUGUAACCAUAAAUGCCUCUAACUUCUUUAUAAUAUUUCGAAAAAACGAAUUCGCUUUUCGUCAUCAGCAAGUAAAACUACAUCAAAAUUACAUUUUUUGAAAACUUUCAGAUUAAAAUCUGUAGCUGGAAGAAAGUAAAAAACCCAAUAAAACAUUACAUGAAAUACUGACAACAUCUCGGACAUGCGACUGUGUCUUGAAAAAUAUCAACAACCAAGAAAGUAGUAACCAAACUUUAAUCGCAUUUUGUCGGCAACAAAAGGACGAGGGGCGAGGCGGUAGAUUUGGGUCACAUCUUUACAACUUUUCAAGUAAAUAAAGUUUUAUAAAAGACGAAACAAAGAGGGAACAACGAAAAACUACACGAUCGAGGGAGUGGAUAUGGGAUAAAAAUAUGGCGAAGGAAAAGAAUAUGUACACCCGGUUAGGGUUUUUGUUACGCCGAAAACCGGUGGUGUACGUAUUCUUUACCUCGGCCAAAAAUAUGGAGCAAAAAUAAUGAAGGAAGAGGUUGAACGAAUUAAAAUAAAUAUUACGAAUUUCCUGAAAUUUAGAUUAAUUACCGUAUUUAGAUGAAGUACAUGAGAGAAAGAAGUAACUAUGAAGAAACAAAAGAAAAUAGGAUCUUGAAGAGAACAGAAGUUAUGUAAGAGAAGAAGAAAUGUAAGAAUACAAGAGAGACUUUUUUCAAUACAAAAUGUGUAAAAUUAAUAAAUGAUACUUGCAUGGAAACGUAGUUAUUGAUGAAAUAAUGUGAGAUGUUCUGAAGUAGAGAUUUGAAAUUAAUGAGGUCAUCGAUUGGGCAGAAUUUUUAACUGCUUUUUAUUGAAUAUCCCUAUUGUGUUCGACUGGUUAAUGAACAAUCAUUGAAGUUAAUUACAGGCGGUAAUUAAUUAUUACUAACACUGUAAAUACGGGCAAAGAAAUAAUAUAUAAACAGUGUAAGGGCACAUGCCUCAGAAAAUUACAAGCAUAACGGAAGUAGCAUUCGUUGUGUAGGAAUAACCUACCUCUAAUCAAUAGAGAAUUCUUUAAAGUCUCUUGAUUCCCGGAAAAUUAUUAGUUUAUGUUUUAUAACUUUGGUUUCCUGUGUAUUCACAUUACCCUUGCGAUUUCGGUAAAACGGUAAAUUAUAAUGCUUAGAACCCGUGAUAUGUUCAUGACAUUAAAUUAGUGAAAUAAUCAGAAUUGUAAAGUAAUUUUAAAAGGCGAAAAAAAAAAAAGAAAGAAAAAUGGAUUUUUAGACAUCCCGUAACAUUGUUAUGAUGCCUUUAAAAAAACACUUUGAACAUCAGAGAUUAUAAACUGACAUCUGACUGUUCAAAGAAGAUUUCAGAAAGUAACUAGUAGCCAACUCUCAUGUGACAGGCAUGUACAACCUGCUGUUCUUUACACAAGUUCAUUUCUCUUACAUCCACUCACAUUUUCUCUCAAAUUUUAACUUGCUUAGUAUGGUGUAUAGUGUUAAUUUGUAUUAUAAAGGCUUGACUGUAUGGUUAAAAGCUAUGAUGCGGAACCAUGUAGUCAAUGGUUUGGUCCUACUGCAUAAAUGUUAUUGGCUAACAUUUCAUACUAUAGCUUUAUAAGUGAAAUUAUCAGACAGAAACUUAAGAAGCCUGUCAUAUAUAUAUAUGUGGAAGACAUAGGAUGGAGUACUGAGGAACAACCUCGGGACAUUGAAUCUUUUAGGCGGGAUGACAAAGGACUGAAAUGCCUGGCAUCUUGCCAUACUCAAUAGGACCCAUACUCUGCAGUAGAAAUGCUAAGACCAAUACUUCUGGUGGUGUAAAGCACUCAUGGCAGUGCCAUGUAAAAGCCUGCCCAUGCAGGACUGUGAAAUAACGCCCGUGUGGCUACACAUAAACGCACCCAGCACACUCUAUAAAGUGGUUUGCAUUAGGAAGGACAUUCAUCCAAAGAAACCAUGCCAAAUCAGACUGGCGUCAGGUGCAGUUCGCCAGCCUGCCAGCCCUGGUCAAACUAUCCAACCCAUGCCAGCAUGGACAAUGGACAUUAAAUGAGGACGAUGAUGAUAAAUAGAUAGGACGAUAUACUUCUGUGUACAUUUGUGUGAGUUCAUAUUUCCCCUCAUGUUCAUGUAGAUUUGUUGACUGUAAAUGAAAAUCUUGCUGUCAAUAGUGUCCUUUGCUUGCAAUCCAUCACAAAAGAAUGUGUAGACUUGUUUGACAUGUUAUGUGAUCUUUGUAAACAAAAGAGCCAUUCAAAUGGUAUAGUUUGUUUCCAGUUCACUACAUAACUUCAUCCAGGUUGUGCACUGUUGAAAAGACUAGGAAAUUAUUAACUUACUUGAAAAUAAGGUUUGGUGAUAGGAAGGCCAUCCAGCCAUUGAAAAUCUACUUCAACAAAUUCUGUCUAGCUUAUGCAAGUGUGGUGAAAUGGACAUUAAGAUGAUGAUAAUGAAAUGAAAAUCAGCAACAUCUCAUAAAACCUGCUGCUAAAAAAAGGUUGCCUCAUUCUACUUCACACUACUAUGUGCCAUUUUACUUUACUGUCAAUAAAUGAAUUACUGUAUAAAAAACCCUCGUGUAUAAGGAACCCCCAAAUUUUGCAGGCUUAAAAAAGCAUUUGUAAGAGAUUAGGUAAAUUCUGAUAAGUGCAGCCGCACUUAUCGGGUAAUGCAUUUCAUCUUUGUGUGGGGAGAGAGAGAUGAGAGACUAUGGAUAUGGUAAGAAAGAAAGAAGGCCUUCUUUGAAAGAAAGGAGACACAUAAAUGAAAUUAAAAAUAUCUUAAAUGAUAAACACACACAAACAAAUGCAUAGUAAAUUCUGGAUGCUUUUAAAAGAUACAAUAUUUUCCCAUUAGAAUAUACUUCUUUCCUCACACAACAUUUAAGAUAUAGUUAUUUUAAAUCGAUUCUUAGUACAAAGAGAAAACUAAUUCUCUCAAUCUCGAUUCGAGUUUCAGGUGGGAAAACUUGCAAAGAGAAAGUGAAUUUUUUUAUUUUUAUAUAUAAAACACUCGAUACCAUUUGAAUAUAUUCUGCAAUCUGGGAUUAAUAUAUCUAGUGAUUUUAAGAGGUAUGAAAAAGAUAUUUUGUUUUAAUAUCAUACUUUUACUUGUUUCACACUAACACAAAAGUUCUCCAGGGGAUACAUUCUUGUCGUUACCACUAAUUUCUAUAACUUCAGCAUUUUCAAUUCUUUUCAAAGUUGUUUAAACUUUCAAUUUUAUGUAAUCUACACUCUUGAAAACAUAUUUCUGUAAAAUGUUGGGGUUGGGGUUGAAAUUUCUGAGAGUUCCACCCCACCCUCCGUUUUCAGAACAAAAAGUGUUUUGUAGCAUAUUAGAAGGUCACUGUAAUUCAUUCAAUGAAAAAAAUUAAUUUCCAAUGAUUCCGGGAUGAGAAGGAGGGUUCCCAACCCCACUUUUUUCCGACCAAAAAAUAAGGGGAUUGCGACACAUUAGGAGGUCAGGGUACUUGAUUCCAUGCAAAAAAUCCAAGGUUUUUUUUUUUCUUAGUGAAAUGUGUGCAGGUGCACUUAUCAAAAUUUACUGUAAAAUACCCUUAAGAAGAAUAUUAAUAAAUAUCUUCACAAGUUAACAAGUUUUAUCAAAAAUAUUUUUUAUUAAUCAUAGAAACCAUUAAAUUCCUCAUCACUCUCAUCUAAUACAUCAUAAUCAGAUACAACUACUGGUAGUUCAUUAUCAUCAGAGUCACCCUCAUUGUAAAUUGCAUUAUCCUCUGUACCAUCCAUGUUGUUGCUUAUGUCGCACGUUUUAAAGGCAUUUACAAUCACUUCUUUCUUCAUACCGUUCCACGAAUUCUUCGCGUAGCCAAACUUCACUUGAAUGGUUUGUUGUUACUGAUGUCCAGAGGUUGAAGUUGGCUUGUCAGGCCACCAGGAAUAACUGCCAAUUGGGUUUUUGAUUUUUUCUUUUGCCAAUUUUUAUGUUGUAUCAGUUAUAAGUGCCCUGAACUGAUCUAACACCAGCGUAGAUGGCUUCUUAAAAAGGUUCCCAGGUCUCUUACUCCAAAUCUUCAUAACAUCUUGAUCCAUCCAGCCCAUUGCAUGAACAUGCACAAGAACUCCUUCUGGCAGUUUCUCCUUUGGAAGUGUCUUUCUUUUGAAAAUGAGUAUUGGUGGCAGCUGGGUACCAUCAGUACAGUAUGCCAGGACAACUGUGUAAUGAGUCUUCUCAUGUCCACUUGUCUUGAUGGCCACUGUUUUAGCCUUUUUUUGAUUCACAGUUUUGUUGGAAGGAACAUCAAAGGUAAAUGGAAAUUCAUCCAUAUUUGCUAUGUGGCAAAGUUCAAAGUUGGUAUUCUUGUGUAAAUUAAUGAUAUAAGAAUGAAACUUAGGAAUCUUUUCUUCAUAAGCAUCAAGCAUCUUCUGAACAAGCUUGGUUCUAGUCCUUAGAUUUAAACCAUUCCUCUUCAUAAAACAGAAGCACCAGAUGGGCAUGCCUUUAAAAUCAGUUGUCUCUUGCCCUUCCUCUUUGUUCUUUUUAUCUCCUGAGCAAUUUUUCUUCCUUGAUUGAUUAGAAUCUUUGUCAAAACAAAUGCAUCAGUUUGCCUUCAGCUUUCGACCCAGUGUUUGAGUUUUCUCUCCAGAUUUGGCCACCUUGCCUUUUUGCCUCAUGCUGCUCUCUUCAUCCUUGGCAUCUGUAAAAGUUCAUCUUUGUGCUUUUAUCCACAGUCCAAUCAUGGUAGUCAUAAGAGGAGGCUCAAACUGUCUUGCUGCAGCUUUAUCUCCAUGCUCCUCUACAAACUGAAUCACUUUCAAUUUGAAAUUUGCAGGAUAUGAAAUGUACUUUUUAUUCUCAGACAUUUUUAUGCUAAUAGAAAACAAAAAUCUAUAAAAAGAGUAAUGCAGGAUCAAUUCAAAUAACAGUAGACAAUACCUAAGAGUGUGUCUCAGUUGAAUUUCCAUAUUUGGUUAUGCUACAUUCAUGCCUGUUUCAGUGUGAGCUGCAUUGUCAUAUAUGGCUAUUGAGCAGGCUUACUGUCUCUGAUAGGUUGUAUGACCUCCAUAAGCAGCCUGGGUUUUUUAGAAAGUGUUAAUGUUCGCACUUGCGUGUUCACUCGCAAUUUUAAAUACAAUACAGAACUGUCAUGUUAAUACAAAAAUACGGAUUUAACAGUCUCGGUGAGCAUAAGUAAGUACUGUUUGGCAGACAAUUGCCGUUUGUGAUGGCUGCUUUAGGCGCAUGCCGUUGCUUGACGAAUGGAUAGCAACUCAUCCAAUAGGACGUCACAACCUGUUGGGUGUUGGUCUGAGGCUUGCGAUGUUUAAGUCAUAGAGAUUUGAGGUUCGAGCAAUUAAGUAAUUUAUUAAUAUCUAUAAUACUAUCCAUGUAGAAGAAACUCCUAUAUUUUUUUAACCUAAUUUUUGACAAAAAAGGGUUCCUUAUACAUGUUAAAAUAUGGUACUUUUAUUCUGUCAAAAUUUUAUUUCCUGAGUGCAAAUGAAAAUAUUAAGUAACAGAAAUAUUCAACAAUGAAAGUCAAUAAAAGACUGAACAUUGCAGUGUCAGCUGAGUUACUGAUAAGCAACUAGUAUGACGUUCCCAUUAUUUCAACUGGAUCCACAAUAUAUUUAAGAUCAAAAGUUAGUAGGAGAGAAUUAUAGCAAAUAAAUGAAAUGCAAUUACUUUUCUUUAA